This is a long non-coding RNA of Magallana angulata, 1159 nucleotides long. RefSeq lists it as uncharacterized. The transcript has 3 exons. NCBI's taxonomy places the organism in Eukaryota, Metazoa, Mollusca, Bivalvia, Ostreida, Ostreidae. The record is from RefSeq and is a predicted model, not a curated record.
UAGACUUGAAAAUUUAAUUCGAACUUUAAGGGACGCUUCAUGGGGCCAGACUAUAUCCUGCUUAUUCUUUUUAGCAAUUCUUGUUCUUUUCCUGACCGGAUUUUGCUCCAAUUACUGGCUCAAGUCGUCAAUAGUUGGUUCUGACUAUGACUACAGAAAUCAAGGACUGUGGAUGUAUUGUUAUGGGUCUUUAGAGACCACCUGCUGUGGAUAUAUAAAUGAGGUUAUGUAUAUAGAGCCUUUUCUUCAUGCUACAAGAGCCUUUCUUGUGAUAAGUCUACUUUUACAAAUUGCGUGUGGUAUCAUAAUCUUUUAUGAUAUAGAUAAGACCUGUGAUGAAAAUAAAGCUAUUGCAAGUGCACUCAGUGGAUUUUCAGCUUUCCUGAUCUUUUUAGCUGUAAUCAUAUAUGGCGCAGCUUCACAAGACGAGGACUCAACAAGCUCCUAUGGACUAGAUUGGUCUUUCUAUUUGUGCGUCUGUAGCUGCUUGCUUUACAUUUUUUUAUGUUUUUAUCUAAUUUAUAGAAAAUAUUUUGGCACAGACUGACUUUUUAUUGCACCGCAGUUCAUCAAAGAUAUAUAUUUGGAAAAAAUUAGGAUCCUUAUCAUUCAUCGAUAUGAAAUAGAAACAUUACUCUUGGGCUUUUAUCUUGAAAAAACAACAAGACUGAAUCUUUGAAUUUAAGUAUUUGUUUUAUUGCUUAUAAGAUAUAUGAAUACAAAAUGUACUGUUGACUAGAAUAUCUGCAAGAAACUGAAGUAGAUAUAUUAAAAAUUGUUUUUUAAAAAUGCUCUAAUUCAAGAUUCUUCUAUGUUAUGUCUUAUAAAAAGUGGUAAACAUCAGCUUUUUCAAAAUUUGCUGACACAUUGUGAAUAUGUAUUUUCAUGGGGUCUUUUUAAUUUGUAAAUUUAUGAAUUAUUCACCUACUUUGUAAGAACAGUCUCAAGAAGCAUCGUCCGCUGGGGAGUGUUCGGACUUUUCGUGCUAUAAGGACCCUAAUGAACCAUAAUUGUCUAUUCAUAUCUCAGUAUUCAUAUUUUGUUUAAAAUAUAAUUUACUCAAUAAAUGUAUAUUUACUGUUAAAUAAGUUGUAUUCGUAUUCAUCGACUUGUUCAGAUUUAUGUUUCCCUAUUCCUAUUCCUGUAUUGUUUAUGUAUU